AGAGCUGGGUCAGAGCUCGAGCCAGCGGCGCCCGGAGAGAUUCGGAGAUGCAGGCGGCUCGGAUGGCCGCGAGCUUGGGGCGGCAGCUGCUGAGGCUCGGGGGCGGAAGGUCUGUGUGUGACAAGAGGGACGGUGGGCAGCGGCCCUGGGCACCGGGCCGGCACUGAACCCCCACUCCCCACAGCUCGCGGCUCACGGCGCUCCUGGGGCAGCCCCGGCCCGGCCCUGCCCGGCGGCCCUAUGCCGGGGGUGCCGCUCAGCUGGCUCUGGACAAGUCAGAUUCCCACCCCUCUGACGCUCUGACCAGGAAAAAACCGGCCAAGGCGGAAUCUAAGUCCUUUGCUGUGGGAAUGUUCAAAGGCCAGCUCACCACAGAUCAGGUGUUCCCAUACCCGUCCGUGCUCAACGAAGAGCAGACACAGUUUCUUAAAGAGCUGGUGGAGCCUGUGUCCCGUUUCUUCGAGGUAAGGAAUGACUCGGGGCUUGGUCCCUGGUGAGGUGUUUGGAGAUGUUAAGCUCAAAAGGAGCCUGGAUGUGGGAUCCUGUGCCUUCCCCAGGAAGUGAACGAUCCCGCCAAGAAUGACGCUCUGGAGAUGGUGGAGGAGACCACUUGGCAGGGCCUCAAGGAGCUGGGGGCCUUUGGUCUGCAAGUGCCCAGUGAGCUGGGUGGUGUGGGCCUUUGCAACACCCAGUACGCCCGUUUGGUGGAGAUCGUGGGCAUGCAUGACCUUGGCGUGGGCAUUACCCUGGGGGCCCAUCAGAGCAUCGGUUUCAAAGGCAUCCU
RNAcentral lists this long non-coding RNA (784 nucleotides) under Homo sapiens (human). RNAcentral's name for it is "HSALNT0236664". Lineage: Eukaryota; Metazoa; Chordata; Mammalia; Primates; Hominidae. The record is from RNAcentral.